RNAcentral lists this ribosomal RNA (293 nucleotides) under uncultured bacterium. Its description in RNAcentral is "partial 16S ribosomal RNA". It matches the Rfam family "Archaeal small subunit ribosomal RNA", at positions 455 to 747 of the family's 1478-position model. The record is from RNAcentral.
GUGCCAGCCGCCGCGGUAAUACCGGCAGCCCGAGUGAUGGCCGAUCUUAUUGGGCCUAAAGCGUCCGUAGCUGGCCGCGCAAGUCCGUCGGGAAAUCCAUCAGCCCAACUGAUGGGCGUCCGGCGGAAACUGCACGGCUUGGGACCGGAAGGCUCGAAGGGUACGGCCGGGGUAGGAGUGAAAUCCUGUAAUCCCGUCCGGACCACCGAUGGCGAAAGCACUUCGAGAAAACGGAUCCGACAGUGAGGGACGAAAGCCAGGGUCUCCAACCGGAUUAGAAACCCCAGUAGUCC